This 163-nucleotide small nuclear RNA is filed under the name Scophthalmus maximus (turbot). RNAcentral's name for it is "U1 spliceosomal RNA (ENSSMAG00000027071.1)". It matches the Rfam family "U1 spliceosomal RNA". Rfam says of the family: U1 is a small nuclear RNA (snRNA) component of the spliceosome (involved in pre-mRNA splicing). Its 5' end forms complementary base pairs with the 5' splice junction, thus defining the 5' donor site of an intron. Lineage: Eukaryota; Metazoa; Chordata; Actinopteri; Pleuronectiformes; Scophthalmidae. The record is from RNAcentral.
AUACUUACCUGGCAGGGGAGAUACCAUGAUCAAGAAGGUGGUUCACCCACAGCGAGGCUCAGCCAUUGCACUCUGGCUUGUGCUGACCCGUGCGAAUUCCCCAAAUGUGGGAAUCUCGACUGCAUAAUUUCUGGUAGUGGGGGACUGCGUUCGCGCUCCCCUG